UCCUCCCCCGCCAGGGGCGAGCUAUUUAAAGUUCACUCGGAGAGUGCAGAGAACACAAGGACGCUUUCCACCGGUGGCUCGCAAGUUAUCCCGCUCCCUCAACACUUCGCUUGGACUCAGUUUUGCAUAAUGGGUGUGAAGAUGCUGCAGUGUUUCCCCUUCUACAAACACUGCAAAGAGCGCUGCAAAAGCAAAGGCUUCCCCUCAGUGAUAGAGGAGAGGAACCUCCGCGUGGCCUCCAGCACGUCGUGCGGCAGCGACAGCCUCGCCCGGGGACCCCACGUUUAUUUCUCCUCCAAAGCUAGGAUGUCUUUUCGACACCAGCUGGACAGCAAUGUCAACGCGGUGGAUGCCACCAACUGAGCCGGCGACGCUGACGGACCCGUGCGUCCGCGCUUCACGACAACCGUGUCCCGACCGAGCGCCGUACGGUGGCAGUGACGGCUUUCACUCUUUACGACAAGCGGCGGUUUGGCAGUUAGUGAAUAACAUCUGAAAAAAAAAAAGAAGAGGCUUCCAGCUAUUUCGUGCCACUCCCAGUUAAUGUUUACUCAAAAACUAAACAAAAAACAAGGGCAGAAUUACACCUUGUGUUUUGGAAACUUUGUGAUGGCAAAGUGAGGGCAAAAUACGAAGCGCUAUUUCCAUGCUAACGAUUAGCAUCGCUAACUGCGGGUUUAGAAGCAACGCAUGUGGACAAAUAACACGACAAUUCUCACAGGCAUAUAUUCUUUAUCCUCUACAAAAAAAUGAGUAACAUUAUAGCAUAUUCAAAGUCAUGUUCUUCUUUGCUUGUGUCUACAUGAGUAUUAUACAGUGCUGCCUCCUGGUGGUCAAAGCCGGAAGGCGCAGCACGCUGAAUUAGCUUGCCGCUAUAGACAUUCUAUUUAUCGCGCCAUUAGAUGACUAUAAAGUACAAUAUUUCAAAAAACAAACAGAAAAGCAAAUUUUCUUUCGUUUUUUGCUUUUUUAAUGCCUUACAAGCUAUGGUCUUUUUUUUAACACCUGUGUAUGGACCUCUUAUAAUGCCAUACAUGUUUUUUUUUUUUUUUUUAAAGAUUUCCCUGCCUAACAAAUGAGGCCAACGAUAUCCACAUUCAAUAAAAAUGUAUGAUAAUGCAUCGCCAUGGACAUACAAAGAUUGUAUUUUGAAACUUCA
Molecule: long non-coding RNA, 1159 nt
Organism: Syngnathus acus (greater pipefish)
Lineage: Eukaryota; Metazoa; Chordata; Actinopteri; Syngnathiformes; Syngnathidae
Exons: 3
Source: RefSeq, a predicted model, not a curated record